GGAGGAAAGGCUUUAUCGCUGAUGGAUGAGGCCCCGCGCCAGACUUAGGUAGUUGGUGAGGUAAUGGCUCACCAAGCUGACGAUCUGUAGGCUGGUCUGAGAGGAUGAUCAGUCCACUACUGGGACUGAGACACGGCCCAGACUCCGUACGGGAGGCCUAGCAGUGGGGAACUAUUGGAACAAUGGGCGAAAGCCUGAUCCAGCAAUACCCGAGUGAGUGAUGAAGGCCUUAGGGGUUGUAAAGCUCCUUUUUAGCAGGGAAGAUAAUGACGUUACCUGCAGAAAAAGCCCCGGCUUAACUCCGUGC
Molecule: ribosomal RNA, 307 nt
Filed under: uncultured Microbacterium sp.
Lineage: Bacteria; Bacillati; Actinomycetota; Actinomycetes; Micrococcales; Microbacteriaceae
Description: bacterial SSU rRNA
Rfam family: Bacterial small subunit ribosomal RNA
Source: RNAcentral